CAAAAACCGAGGUAUGGAAAAAACCCUAGUCUCUCCUUCUUCUUUAACAUACACAAGAACAAACCUAACACCCUAAGAACCAGCCACACACACAGUCAUAGCCCCACCUCUCAACCACCACCCCUAAGAACUAGCAGAACUCCUCUAACAGCUUCCUCCCAAGUUAAAACCAGAAAAUCCCAGCCGUUGAAACACCCAACCGGCACCAUAGAACUCACACAAAAAUGCCAAGAUAAAUCCAGCAAUUAAUAUAAUUUCUAUCAAGUGUUUUAGUCAAAGUCUCAAUUCUUGGCUUAUGUCCAAACUUGCAUGAAGUUAAAAGUUCUUUAAUAACAAUUUUGAUUAUUUUAUUUAGUAAUGAAAUGGUAUUUUUUGUGUGGUAUACUGGUGCACAGAAGGUGGGAUAUAGGUCCUUAUAAGUUAGUCUUUGCAAUAUUAAUGGUUUUCAAGGUAAGAAUCCUUAAAGGUGUAUUGAGGCCGUUGAAUUUAAAACUCCGAGAUCUGCUCGAGGUCAGAGUCUGAGGUUCCGCUCGAGAUACGCGGUCCCGGUGUAAAUUUGAAGUGCUAUUAUCGGAUUGCACAAUAUUGUCUCUUGCAAGGGGAUCUUUCAUCAAUUCAAUUUUGAUCACCGUUUGGGUUCCACUUGAGGUAUGGAUCAAUUUGCUAGAGUUUGAGCAUGACAAAUAUCCUAGGACCAUUCUAGUCAAGGCCAUUGCAUGCACGAGUUGCUUGAGGAAACUUUUUAUUUUUUUAGUCUAUUUUAUGUUGUCUUUUAAUUAUUAGUCUUGUACAGUAGUAUCGAGUUUGUCAGUCUAGUUAAGAUUUUUGAGUCUUUUGUUAUAGUACUUCCUAUUUUGUAUUUGAAAAACCAAAAAAGAUUAUUAAAUGAAAAUUCCAAAAAGAUUUUUUGUU
Nicotiana tabacum (common tobacco) is the source of this 912-nucleotide long non-coding RNA. RefSeq lists it as uncharacterized. NCBI's taxonomy places the organism in Eukaryota, Viridiplantae, Streptophyta, Magnoliopsida, Solanales, Solanaceae. The record is from RefSeq and is a predicted model, not a curated record.